UGCAGUCGAGCGGUACACAGAGAGCUUGCUCUCGGGUGACGAGCGGCGGACGGGUGAGUAAUGUCUGGGAAACUGCCUGAUGGAGGGGGAUAACUACUGGAAACGGUAGCUAAUACCGCAUAAUGUCGCAAGACCAAAGUGGGGGACCUUCGGGCCUCAUGCCAUCAGAUGUGCCCAGAUGGGAUUAGCUAGUAGGUGGGGUAACGGCUCACCUAGGCGACGAUCCCUAGCUGGUCUGAGAGGAUGACCAGCCACACUGGAACUGAGACACGGUCCAGACUCCUACGGGAGGCAGCAGUGGGGAAUAUUGCACAAUGGGCGCAAGCCUGAUGCACCCAUGCCGCGUGUGUGAAGAAGGCCUUCGGGUUGUAAAGCACUUUCAGCGGGGAGGAAGGCGGUGAGGUUAAUAACCUUGUCGAUUGACGUUACCCGCAGAAAAAGCACCGGCUAACUCCGUGCCAGCAGCCGCGGUAAUACGGAGGGUGCAAGCGUUAAUCGGAAUUACUGGGCGUAAAGCGCACGCACGCGGUCUGUCAAGUCGGAUGUGAAAUCCCCGGGCUCAACCUGGGAACUGCAUUCGAAACUGGCAGGCUAGAGUCUUGUAGAGGGGGGUAGAAUUCCAGGUGUAGCGGUGAAAUGCGUAUAGAUCUGGAGGAAUACCGGUGGCGAAGGCGGCCCCCUGUACAAAGACUGACACUCACGUGCGAAAGCGUGUGGAGCAAACAGGAUUAGAUAC
Molecule: ribosomal RNA, 736 nt
Filed under: Klebsiella pneumoniae
Lineage: Bacteria; Pseudomonadati; Pseudomonadota; Gammaproteobacteria; Enterobacterales; Enterobacteriaceae
Description: bacterial SSU rRNA
Rfam family: Bacterial small subunit ribosomal RNA
Source: RNAcentral